RNAcentral lists this ribosomal RNA (486 nucleotides) under uncultured bacterium. RNAcentral describes it as "partial 16S ribosomal RNA". It matches the Rfam family "Bacterial small subunit ribosomal RNA", at positions 30 to 507 of the family's 1533-position model. The record is from RNAcentral.
AUUGAACGCUGGCGGCAUGCCUUACACAUGCAAGUCGAACGGCAGCACGGGUGCUUGCACCUGGUGGCGAGUGGCGAACGGGUGAGUAAUACAUCGGAACAUGUCCUGUAGUGGGGGAUAGCCCGGCGAAAGCCGGAUUAAUACCGCAUACGAUCCACGGAUGAAAGCGGGGGACCUUCGGGCCUCGCGCUAUAGGGUUGGCCGAUGGCUGAUUAGCUAGUUGGUGGGGUAAAGGCCUACCAAGGCGACGAUCAGUAGCUGGUCUGAGAGGACGACCAGCCACACUGGGACUGAGACACGGCCCAGACUCCUACGGGAGGCAGCAGUGGGGAAUUUUGGACAAUGGGCGAAAGCCUGAUCCAGCAAUGCCGCGUGUGUGAAGAAGGACUUCGGGUUGUAAAGCACUUUUGUCCGGAAAGAAAUCCUUGACUCUAAUACAGUCGGGGGAUGGCGGUACCGGAAGAAUAAGCACCGGCUAACUACGUG